UGACGUAGCUCAGUUGGUAGAGCACUUCACUCGUAAUGAAGGGGUCGGAGGUUCGAAUCCUCUCGUCAG
RNAcentral lists this transfer RNA (69 nucleotides) under Numidum massiliense. It matches the Rfam family "tRNA". Rfam says of the family: Transfer RNA (tRNA) molecules are approximately 80 nucleotides in length. The record is from RNAcentral. Lineage: Bacteria; Bacillati; Bacillota; Bacilli; Caryophanales; Bacillaceae.